GUAUUGUAUUGCGUUAAACGCGGCAUACAUUCCAUGAGACUUCGUUACAGAGUGUGUGUAAAGACGUAGAACCACGACAGGAGGACAGAGUCCCCCAUGCCACGGAACUACAGGGGGUGCACAGGUGUGAGUGGAUGUGUAAACAGAGCGUGCACAUGCCCCCGUUUGAGGACCAGCAACAACUCGUGUCGACAAUUCAGUAAUGAUCCUUCCGCAGGUUCACCUACGGAAA
This 232-nucleotide unclassified non-coding RNA is filed under the name uncultured fungus. RNAcentral's name for it is "sequence contains ITS1". The record is from RNAcentral. Lineage: Eukaryota; Fungi.